RNAcentral lists this unclassified non-coding RNA (3661 nucleotides) under Leishmania donovani. Its description in RNAcentral is "gene:unknown". The record is from RNAcentral. Lineage: Eukaryota; Euglenozoa; Kinetoplastea; Trypanosomatida; Trypanosomatidae.
CGCUGCGCGCUUCAAGCACGACCGACACCCAUGACUAGUACGAUGCCCGACUGAACAAGAGGCGACAAGGACGGUGGCGAAAGACGAGGCAACGCGGGACGCGAGCGCCAAAGUUCACAGAGUCGUGCACACGCACACGCGAUGACGGAGCUGUUCGACGAGGGUGGCGCCAGAAGACGAUCAAAGUUCAUUCGACUUGGGAAGACACAUCGAAGCCCUCCCUCCCCACACAUGCGCUGGGCGAAAAGGAAUACAAAAAAAAAGAGUGUAGAAUGGACCAGUCGGCUUUUUUCUUUUUGCAUGUGUAUGUGCGAGACGAGGAGCGGGCUUGGCAGGCGAGGGCAGGCACGAAAAACAAACAAGCAUGGGAAGAAGGAGAAUGCAACAUGUGCAAGAUGCAUACAAAGAGAUGAACAACCACAGAUGCGUACAUCUUUGCACUUCUUUGGUUGAAGCUGUUCUGCCAUAGGGUCCCCCUCGUUUUCACGCGUGUUUUAGCCCACCGAUGCACCCAAAAGAGGAAAAGUAAACGUUGACAGAGGGAGAGAGUGUGAGACAGAGAGGGGAGAAAGGGAAGGUAGAUCAAAACUUCGCUCUUGCCUUCGCCCAGCUCUCUUUUUUCUUAUUUGUUUCUCCGAUUGACGUUGACCGCUCUUCCCUGCUGCUCCCGUCACUCUCUUCUUCUUUCCCAUUUCUUUUCCUUUUUGAUUUCUUCGUUGUUACUGCUCUUCGUUUUUGCCUUGCUGCCGUGUGUGUAUUUUCUCUUUCUGUGAACAAAUUCUUACCUUUAACUGUUGCUAUUUUUCACUACUCCCCCUCUGCGCAUGCGCAUCGUGUGUGUGUGUGUGCUGGAGGUGAAACACCCUUUUUUUUCCUCUCCUCCCGUUUUCUGUCUUUUGCUCCGUUAUGUGCGUGGAUGUUUCCUCCCUCCAAUCGAAUGCGGAGAUCACACAACACUGACACACAAGCACACACUGGGAUAGAGAAGCCAGCGGUCAUACGUACAGAUGUGGCCGCCUUCUCGCUUCUCUUGUGCAUCUCACUCUCUCGCCAGGCUCUUUCUCUUUUCGCUUGCCUUUCUAUCCCUCUUUUUGUUCUUUGCAUUGAAAUCUUGUGCACUGAGAUGGAUCGGAAGAGAUGUCGUCCUCGCUCAUGGGCGGAGAGCCGCCGUUCUCGCCAUUUCUUUCUCUCCCCUCCGCGCUCCUUCGCUUUCUUCAACUGUCAGCUUUCUCACCUCGAUCUUGGCGAAUCCGUUUUUCUUUACCCUCUCGCGUUCACCGGCUUAAUGACCAAGAUUCUCUUCCGUCGCUGUAGGUCUCUCUCUCACUGCCUUGCUUUUCUCCGCCUUGUCUUUUUGCACCUAAAAGCGCGCGUCCCCUAUCCGCGGACUCCAGUGUGAACGUAGCGCGUGUCAGGCAUGUGCGGAGAGCACCCGCUGUUUACCCCGAAUUCCAUCUUCUCCAGCUCUCCGAGCGGCAAGCGGUGCGCUGCGCAAGUCCGGAGGAGAUGAAGCGCAGGGGUAGCGGUUCACACGUCGAUGCAGCAGACGUCCAGUAGAAGCGCCUUCUUUCCCCCUUUUUUGUUCUCAACGGAAAUGGAAGCGAAUAAUAAGAAUAGUAAAGGCAAAAGACGGCAGGACGGGGGGGAGUUUGGGACGGGCGAGUAGAAGAUACACAGCCUGUGGUUGUGAAGAGAGAACCACGGCAGAGCGAAGCAAACUUUCCUUUGGUGCUCUCUUUCCCAUCAGUUUGCAUUGGCGCGGAGGCUCUGGACUCUGCUCUCUCCGUCUCUCCCCCUUUGCUUCUUGUCUUUCGGUCUCGUCUGCCUGUACGGUGUGCUCUUCUUACUGCAGCUGCGUCAUCUUUCCUUCUCCUUUUGUCUUGACUAUCCCUCCGUCUCGCGCGCUCUCUCGCAUCCUUCCUUGCCUUGCUUUUUUUUGUUUGUGUUCUGGCUGCAUUAUGAACCGUACUCUGCUAUGCACCACCUUGGGGCCCGGGCUCGCUCGCUCUCACUCACUGCGCUUUCCUCUGUUUACCCCCGCAAACGUUCACGUGCAUAUUUGUGUGUCUUCGUUUAUGCAUGCCAGCAUUCUUUCUGCUUUCGCUUUCUCCUCUUCCGUUCUUUGCGUCGUUUUUCCAGUAGCUGCUCGUUUUCUUUCUGAUGGCGUGAGGCGCACUUGUCUCGGUGAGCGUGUGCGCAUAUGCGUGGGCGGUAGCUUUCUGCAGGACUCACCCAUACCCACACUCUCAAACCUGCGUGCUUACAGCUAUUGCAGACAUGUGCGCACGCUCUGUGGUUUCGCAUCACCGGCCUUGUCGUCUCCGAUGGCUUUUUUUUUUGCGCGACUCCAUCAGUGACUUGCACGCCUCACCCUUUUUUUUUGUCUAUGUGUUCCGACUCUCUGUCCGAGGCAGCACCCCCUUCCCUCACCCGAAACUGCGAGGAAGCACACACGUACACAUAGGUCGAUUUUCCACCCCCAAAAACAAAAACGGAGAAAACAACUGAAAAGUGAGAAAGAAACGGAGAGGAACGAUGCGCUUCUGAGAGUUCGUGUGUGCAUGUGUCUUUGUACGGUCUGCGCGUCUGCUACGAAUGAGACCUGCGGGGCUAUGAUGGUCGCCAUGUGGUGAAGGAAAAAAGAUCAAGACGCAUGGGUGUGAGCAGAAAAUGCAGCCGGGCUACUUCAAACAUGUGGCGGUGUCCCACAUCGUCCCUUUUUUCUUUUUUUUUCCGAAAGCACAAAGGGGCUUUCAAGUAGGUUUGCGUCUGCAUGUGACAUCUACACGUGUGCGCGUCAUCCCACGCGACUUUUCUCCCGCUCCUCCUUACCUUUCUCCCCUCCCCCACUGCAACCCGCUUCUCACUAGAGCGGCACGGCGCACCUGGAUGCUUCUCUUUCUUGUGCCUUUCUCAUGCUCGUUUUCCCUUUUUACUUCCUUUUUAGAUGCCAUCUAGUGUAGGUGUAUAAGUGCGCGUGUGUGCUUGGGUGGCCCACCACGCCAUCUUUGCCUCUUUCUCCUUUUCUCUCCCCCUCCGUCUACGGCUGCCGGCUUCGGUGUGUUCGAAUGCGUAUCCGUUUUUUGUUUUCAAAAUGUUUCUGUGCUGUUUUUCUUCAUGCAUAUGCAUGCAAAUAUAUAUACAGAUAUCGGUAUAUACAUGCAUAUACGUAUAUGCAUGUAUAUAUGUAUAUCUGAGUUGGUCUUGUGGUGCAGGCGUCAGUGCGAGGCGUCGGGAGGUGAGGAAAGGGAAGGGGAGGGUGGUAAGCAGUAACAACAAAAACGAUAAAAGAAAUGCCGAAAAAAAACAAAAACAAGCCAAACCAAACUAAGCAUGAUUAAUCGCAUUUCCCGCAACAACAGAGAGAAUACACACACAUACACAGACACGCAUGCAAAAAAAAACGUUAAGGCAGUGCUUGCACGCGUCUGUUAGCGUGCCACGAUCGCACACGCGCCGAGAGCGAGAAAACAGCGGUGUGGUAUCUGCACAGCGAAGAAACUUCCGCCUCCUUUUGUGGCUCUCUUUCCACCACCCUCUCUCUCCAUCUCCUCUUUUCUCGUUCAUUUUCUUUGCCCCUCGCCAUCUCAUUGUCGCUAUUUUGUGCUUCUCCUUGGGCCGUCCCCCCGCUCCCCGCUCUUUUUUUUUUUCGCUGUCGAAG